GUGCUUACUACAGCAGCACAUAUACUAGAAUUUUAACAAUACAGAGAAGAUUCACAUGGCCCCUGUGCAAGGAUGACAUGCAAAUUUGUGAACCUUUCAUUAUUUUU
Small nuclear RNA from Erinaceus europaeus (western European hedgehog), 107 nucleotides. The record is from Ensembl. NCBI's taxonomy places the organism in Eukaryota, Metazoa, Chordata, Mammalia, Eulipotyphla, Erinaceidae.